RNAcentral lists this ribosomal RNA (445 nucleotides) under uncultured bacterium. RNAcentral's name for it is "partial 16S ribosomal RNA". It matches the Rfam family "Bacterial small subunit ribosomal RNA", at positions 330 to 792 of the family's 1533-position model. The record is from RNAcentral.
UCCAGACUCCUACGGGAGGCAGCAGUGGGGAAUAUUGCACAAUGGGGGGAACCCUGAUGCAGCAACGCCGCGUGAGUGAAGAAGUCAUUCGUGAUGUAAAGCUCUAUCAGCAGGGAAGAAAAUGACGGUACCUGAGUAAGAAGCCCCGGCUAACUACGUGCCAGCAGCCGCGGUAAUACGUAGGGGGCAAGCGUUAUCCGGAUUUACUGGGUGUAAAGGGAGCGUAGACGGCCAGACAAGUCUGAAGUGAAAAUCCAGCGCUUAACGCUGGAAGUGCUUUGGAAACUGCCGGGCUGGAGUGCAGGAGGGGCAGGCGGAAUUCCUAGUGUAGCGGUGAAAUGCGUAGAUAUUAGGAGGAACACCGGUGGCGAAGGCGGCCUGCUGGACUGUGACUGACGUUGAGGCUCGAAAGCGUGGGGAGCAAACAGGAUUAGAUACCCGAGUA